This 488-nucleotide ribosomal RNA is filed under the name uncultured Fusibacter sp. RNAcentral describes it as "bacterial SSU rRNA". It matches the Rfam family "Bacterial small subunit ribosomal RNA", at positions 891 to 1382 of the family's 1533-position model. The record is from RNAcentral. Lineage: Bacteria; Bacillati; Bacillota; Clostridia; Eubacteriales; Fusibacteraceae.
GCUCAGAAACUCAAAUGAAUUGACGGGGGCCCGCACAAGCGGUGGAGCAUGUGGUUUAAUUCGAUGAUACGCGAGGAACCUUACCUGGGCUCAAAUGUAUGUUGACGUAUCUGAAAGGGAUACUUCUUCGGACAAUAUACAAGGUGCUGCAUGGUUGUCGUCAGCUCGUGUCGUGAGAUGUUGGGUUAAGUCCCGCAACGAGCGCAACCCUUGUGUUUAGUUGCAAACAGGUCAAGCUGUGCACUCUAGACAGACUGCCGUGGACAACACGGAGGAAGGUGGGGAUGACGUCAAAUCAUCAUGCCCCUUAUGAUCUGGGCUACACACGUGCUACAAUGGCCGGUACAACGGGCAGCGAAGGAGCGAUCCGGAGCGAAUCCUAAAAAGCCGGUCCCAGUUCGGAUUGCAGGCUGAAACUCGCCUACAUGAAGUUGGAGUUGCUAGUAAUCGCGAAUCAGAAUGUCGCGGUGAAUGCGUUCCCGGGUCUU